Molecule: ribosomal RNA, 207 nt
Filed under: uncultured bacterium
Lineage: Bacteria
Description: partial 16S ribosomal RNA
Rfam family: Bacterial small subunit ribosomal RNA
Source: RNAcentral
CGCGUAGGCGGUUUGUUAAGUCGGAUGUGAAAGCCCCGGGCUCAACCUGGGAAUUGCAUACGAUACUGGCCGACUAGAGUACGAGAGAGGGAGGUAGAAUUCCACGUGUAGCGGUGAAAUGCGUAGAUAUGUGGAGGAAUACCGGUGGCGAAGGCGGCCUCCUGGCUCGAUACUGACGCUGAGGUGCGAAAGCGUGGGUAGCAAACA